RNAcentral lists this ribosomal RNA (445 nucleotides) under uncultured bacterium. RNAcentral's name for it is "partial 16S ribosomal RNA". It matches the Rfam family "Bacterial small subunit ribosomal RNA", at positions 354 to 796 of the family's 1533-position model. The record is from RNAcentral.
GUGAGGAAUAUUGGUCAAUGGGCGAGAGCCUGAACCAGCCAAGUCGCGUGAAGGAAGAAGGAUCUAUGGUUCGUAAACUUCUUUUGCAGGGGAAUAAAGUGCAGGACGUGUCCUGUUUUGUAUGUACCCUGAGAAUAAGGAUCGGCUAACUCCGUGCCAGCAGCCGCGGUAAUACGGAGGAUCCGAGCGUUAUCCGGAUUUAUUGGGUUUAAAGGGUGCGUAGGUGGUUUGAUAAGUCAGCGGUGAAAGUUUGCAGCUUAACUGUAAAAAUGCCGUUGAAACUGUCGGACUUUAGUGUAAAUGAGGUAGGCGGAAUGCGUGGUGUAGCGGUGAAAUGCAUAGAUAUCACGCAGAACUCCGAUUGCGAAGGCAGCUUACUAAGCUACAACUGACACUGAAGCACGAAAGCGUGGGGAUCAAACGGGAUUAGAAACCCGAGUAGUCC